UUGGAAGAAGAAUCUGGAUCUUACCCCCU
RNAcentral lists this non-coding RNA (29 nucleotides) under Cricetulus griseus (Chinese hamster). Lineage: Eukaryota; Metazoa; Chordata; Mammalia; Rodentia; Cricetidae. The record is from RNAcentral.